CCAGACUCCUACGGGAGGCAGCAGUGGGGAAUAUUGCACAAUGGGGGAAACCCUGAUGCAGCGACGCCGCGUGAGUGAAGAAGUAUUUCGGUAUGUAAAGCUCUAUCAGCAGGGAAGAAAAUGAUGGUACCUGACUAAGAAGCCCCGGCUAACUACGUGCCAGCAGCCGCGGUAAUACGUAGGGGGCAAGCGUUAUCCGGAUUUACUGGGUGUAAAGGGAGCGUAGACGGCAUGGCAAGUCAGAUGUGAAAGCCCGGGGCUCAACCCCGGGACUGCAUUUGAAACUGUCAGGCUGGAGUGCAGGAGAGGCAGGCGGAAUUCCUAGUGUAGCGGUGAAAUGCGUAGAUAUUAGGAGGAACACCAGUGGCGAAGGCGGCCUGCUGGACGACAACUGACGGUGAGGCGCGAAAGCGUGGGGAGCAAACAGGAUUAGAUACCCGAGUA
This 444-nucleotide ribosomal RNA is filed under the name uncultured bacterium. RNAcentral describes it as "bacterial SSU rRNA". It matches the Rfam family "Bacterial small subunit ribosomal RNA", at positions 331 to 792 of the family's 1533-position model. The record is from RNAcentral.